AGAGUUGCAUCAACUAUUGGAGUUAGUGCAGAUAAGAUUACUGAUGCAUAAAAGUGGAAAUUAACAAUCAACUUGAGCAAAACCAUAAAAAUGCCAGAGUAGUUAAAGUUACUUCUAACGCAAGACUCAACUCGAGUAGCGAAACAGAGGGGGUUAGCCACACAAUGUGCAUUUUCAUCUAUGAUUCUUAUUUUACAUUCAUA
Molecule: long non-coding RNA, 203 nt
Filed under: Citrus sinensis (sweet orange)
Lineage: Eukaryota; Viridiplantae; Streptophyta; Magnoliopsida; Sapindales; Rutaceae
Description: long non-coding RNA (CSIN_LNC001129)
Source: RNAcentral